CAGGCCUAACACAUGCAAGUCGAGCGGUAACAGGUGUAGCAAUACAUGCUGACGAGCGGCGAACGGGUGAGUAAUGCUUUGGAAUCUUCCCAGUAGUGGGGAACAACCAGUCGAAAGAUUGGCUAAUACCGCAUACGUCUGUGAAGAGAAAGCGGGGGAUCGUAAGACCUCGCGCUAUUGGAUGAGCCAAAGUCGGAUUAGCUAGUUGGUGAGGUAAUGGCUCACCAAGGCGACAAUCCGUAGCUGGUCUGAGAGGACGACCAGCCACACCGGAACUGAGACACGGUCCGGACUCCUACGGGAGGCAGCAGUGGGGAAUAUUGGACAAUGGGGGAAACCCUGAUCCAGCGACGCCGCGUGGGUGAUGAAGGCCUUCGGGUUGUAAAGCCCUGUGGGGAGAGACGAAUAAGUCGGAGCUAACACCUCCGAUGAUGACGGUAUCUCCUUAGCAAGCACCGGCUAACUCUGUGCCAGCAGCCGCGGUAAUAC
RNAcentral lists this ribosomal RNA (489 nucleotides) under uncultured bacterium. RNAcentral describes it as "bacterial SSU rRNA". It matches the Rfam family "Bacterial small subunit ribosomal RNA", at positions 43 to 526 of the family's 1533-position model. The record is from RNAcentral.